Molecule: long non-coding RNA, 910 nt
Organism: Haliotis rubra (blacklip abalone)
Lineage: Eukaryota; Metazoa; Mollusca; Gastropoda; Lepetellida; Haliotidae
Exons: 2
Source: RefSeq, a predicted model, not a curated record
UUCACACAUUGUACUCAUGUGGGGAAUCGAACCCGGGUGUUGGACGUGGAGAGAGAACGCUUUAACCGCUAAGCCACCCUAUCGCCCCGUCUACGCAACGUAACCACGAACAUGCAUGUAUUGACAAACCAGCAAACAUAAUCGGGCGUCCUGAGAUUCAAACCCACUGUGAUGAGUUUGGAGGAGUCAAGGUGACCUAACUCCGCACAGCGAAUUGGGACGCUAGAGUGAGAGUGAGUGAGUUUAUAUUUACGCCGUUUUUAGCAAUAUUCUAGCAAUAUCUCAGCGCGGGACACCAGAAAUGGCAAGAGUAAGAGUAUAACCAUGAGUAUAUCUCAGUUCUCCAGAUCAAAAUUAAAGAAGUACCACAGCCUAAUUAACGCAAACUUUAAAAUAAUCGAAUAAAAAAAAUAUGCGAACUAUAAUUUAUUUCACUAACGAUAGUAGAAGUUUACAUCAGUCUUGGUAAUGAAGGGGAGGACAAUGAUACCAAAUUUGUGUUUCUCAUCUCCGCGUUCAGCUUUAGAGGUUACGAGAAGUCGGAAGAAUAUGAGUCAAAGUACUUUUGGUUGAGUAUAACCUGACACGCUGAUUUAAAAUAGAAGGUAAAGAAACUAUGUAGUAUUCGCCUAUAACCUUUUGAUAAUGGUCUGUAUUUAAAGUGCACACACUGUUGUAUCAGUAUAGAAAACUUUAAGUGCACCAAACUCAGCGGAGUAUUUGAAAGAAUUAUUUCAAACAUUAAUUUUGGUUACAAAACAAGAGCUAAAUGGUCAGCAUCCUUCCCUCAAUAAGCAUCCGUGGUUUGUGUGAACAGAAAUGUAAAGUAGAAGUUAGGAGUUGUUAAACUUCCAACAUCCACAGAUAUGGUAUGUUAUUAGAAUAAGUAUUUCUUUUCAAUAUAUAUAUA